UACGAAGGGGGCUAGCGUUGCUCGGAAUCACUGGGCGUAAAGCGCACGUAGGCGGGUCUUUAAGUCGGAGGUGAAAUCCUGGAGCUCAACUCCAGAACUGCCUUCGAUACUGAGGAUCUCGAGUCCGGGAGAGGUGAGUGGAACUGCGAGUGUAGAGGUGAAAUUCGUAGAUAUUCGCAAGAACACCAGUGGCGAAGGCGGCUCACUGGCCCGGUACUGACGCUGAGGUGCGAAAGCGAUG
This 241-nucleotide ribosomal RNA is filed under the name uncultured bacterium. RNAcentral describes it as "partial 16S ribosomal RNA". It matches the Rfam family "Bacterial small subunit ribosomal RNA", at positions 524 to 764 of the family's 1533-position model. The record is from RNAcentral.